UGCCUGCCGAGUUCGACACCCUCGGACGAUCUUAACCCAACACUCUUUAAAAAGGGAGUCUAACUCGAAUGCGGAAUGCAGACCUCCCCGCACCUCGUGCGGGAAGAAGGGAGCUGGAAACGGACGGAGGACACCCACCUGCUUAUUGCAGGUUAUCAUUCACCGACACCGGCUCGGCGGGUUUU
This 185-nucleotide non-coding RNA is filed under the name bovine gut metagenome. Its description in RNAcentral is "6S / SsrS RNA". It matches the Rfam family "6S / SsrS RNA". Rfam says of the family: E. coli 6S RNA was the first non coding RNA to be sequenced, but its function was unknown until recently. It consists of 184 nucleotides that fold into an extended hairpin structure with a large single-stranded internal bulge. RNAcentral also lists the same sequence under 1 other name. The record is from RNAcentral.